UACGGAAGGCAGCAGUGGGGAAUAUUGCACAAUGGGCGCAAGCCUGAUGCAGCCAUGCCGCGUGUAUGAAGAAGGCCUUCGGGUUGUAAAGUACUUUCAGCGGGGAGGAAGGCGAUGCGGUUAAUAACCGCGUCGAUUGACGUUACCCGCAGAAGAAGCACCGGCUAACUCCGUGCCAGCAGCCGCGGUAAUACGGAGGGUGCAAGCGUUAAUCGGAAUUACUGGGCGUAAAGCGCACGCAGGCGGUCUGUUAAGUCAGAUGUGAAAUCCCCGGGCUUAACCUGGGAACUGCAUUUUGAACUGGCAGGCUUGAGUCUUGUAGAGGGGGUGAAUUCCAGGUGUAGCGGUGAAAUGCGUAGAGAUCUGGAGGAAUACCGGUGGCGAAGGCGGCCCCUGGGACAAGACUGACGCUCAGGUGCGAAAGCGUGGGGAGCGAAACAGGGAUUAGGAUACC
This 454-nucleotide ribosomal RNA is filed under the name uncultured bacterium. RNAcentral describes it as "bacterial SSU rRNA". It matches the Rfam family "Bacterial small subunit ribosomal RNA", at positions 340 to 786 of the family's 1533-position model. The record is from RNAcentral.